GACGAACGCUGGCGGCGUGCUUAACACAUGCAAGUCGAACGGAAAGGCCCCUUUGGGGGUACUCGAGUGGCGCACGGGUGAGUAACACGUGAGUAACCUGCCCUUGACUUCGGGAUAACUUCAGGAAACUGGGGCUAAUACCGGAUAGGAAUCCUUGCUGCAUGGUGGGGGUUGGAAAGCUUCGGCGGUUUUGGAUGGACUCGCGGCUUAUCAGCUUGUUGGUGGGGUAGUGGCUUACCAAGGCUUUGACGGGUAGCCGGCCUGAGAGGGCGACCGGCCACAUUGGGACUGAGAUACGGCCCAGACUCCUACGGGAGGCAGCAGUGGGGAAUAUUGCACAAUAGGCGGAAGCCUGAUGCAGCAACGCCGCGUGCGGGAUGACGGCCUUCGGGUUGUAAACCGCGUUCAGCAGGGGCGAAGCUUGUGGUGACGGUACCUGCAGAAGAAGCACCGGCUAACUACGUG
This 465-nucleotide ribosomal RNA is filed under the name uncultured bacterium. RNAcentral describes it as "partial 16S ribosomal RNA". It matches the Rfam family "Bacterial small subunit ribosomal RNA", at positions 28 to 507 of the family's 1533-position model. The record is from RNAcentral.